GCCCAGGUGUUCCCGCCCCGCCCCCGAGCCACCUCCUCCACCUCGUAGCCUCCCGCCGGGGCAAGGCAAACCGGGCAUCUAGUGGAGAGCUUCUCAACUCGGGCCCUAGGGCACUCUUCCCACGUGGAACCCCGCGGGCCUUUCGGAGCCCCGAGGGCGGGAGGCAGCGAAGCGGAGGCCGGCAGGGCCGGUGGGAGAUGGAGCGGAGGUCCAGAGCCUCCACGCCAGGAGGCAUGGUGCGGCCCCCGUGAGUCAGGAGCAGGAGGCCGAGGGUGGGACGGGUGCACCUGCCUCGGCCCCGAGGAACCCUCCCGAGGCCCCCGCCUUCUGGUCUCGGGUGAUGCUGGGAGAUGCGGCCGGCCGGCCCCGCGUCCCGCCUGUCUGCCGUGAGCUCGGGCUGGGGAGAAACGCCGUCCAAAGGGAACCGAGUGAUGGAGCUCCACACUGCCCCCGGGCGGCGGGGGCGCGCACUCCCUGCCCUCCGAGGCUGCCUGCCUUUCUGGGCUCCGGUUUUCUACACCAUUCCGCGCACUACUCUAGUCAUUUCUAUUUUGAUACUUUCGGGACUCGGUGCCAAGCCGGAUGCUGGGCACUAUGGACACCGGGAUAAGAAAGAGACGGCCCUCUGCUCUAGGACUUUGCACCAUCGGCAAGUUCAUCGGGUAUCAUUUCCAGGACAGAUGUUUCCUUGCCUGUAGAAGCGCUGACAGAUUGCCAUGGCAGAUUGCUCCGUACCCUUCUUCUCGUAAGCGUGAUUCCCAACCGAGGUAUUGCGGAGCUGCAAGUACUUCAUCCGAAAAGAGAAACAGAAAAUGGGAACACCAGCCAGACAGAAAUGAAGCCAUGGUUCCCUGCCCACCCUGCCUGUGAAAUGGGAGGUUCCAACUUGCUCUCUGGGCAGAGAUAUUCACGUUCACGUUCACACUGAUAUGCAGAGCACAGGACCUGCUACUGGGCGCCAGGACAGCAGCCAGCAGAAAGCAUUCCCACAUUAGAGUUCUGGGCUGCAGUCUCAUUUCUGUGAGUGCAAACACGUCACAAAUUUUCUGAGCUUCCAGUUCCUUGUCUACAAAAUGAAAGACUUAUACCGCAUCAACUCUGCCAUCUUUCCUUCUUUAAAGAUCUAUAUUCAGGAAUUGAUUUUUGCAUUCAGUGUGAAUACAAACUUUAUGUCUG
This is a long non-coding RNA of Mustela lutreola (European mink), 1176 nucleotides long. RefSeq lists it as uncharacterized. The transcript is spliced from 3 exons. The record is from RefSeq and is a predicted model, not a curated record. NCBI's taxonomy places the organism in Eukaryota, Metazoa, Chordata, Mammalia, Carnivora, Mustelidae.